RNAcentral lists this ribosomal RNA (500 nucleotides) under uncultured bacterium. RNAcentral describes it as "partial 16S ribosomal RNA". It matches the Rfam family "Bacterial small subunit ribosomal RNA", at positions 30 to 523 of the family's 1533-position model. The record is from RNAcentral.
AUUGAACGCUGGCGGCAUGCCUUACACAUGCAAGUCGAACGGCAGCACGGGAGCAAUCCUGGUGGCGAGUGGCGAACGGGUGAGUAAAGUAUCGGAACGUGCCCAGUCGUGGGGGAUAACGUAGCGAAAGUUACGCUAAUACCGCAUACGAUCUAUGGAUGAAAGCGGGGGAUCGCAAGACCUCGCGCGAUUGGAGCGGCCGAUAUCAGAUUAGGUAGUUGGUGGGGAAAAGGCUCACCAAGCCGAGAAUCUGUAGCUGGUCUGAGAGGACGACCGGCCACACUGAGACUGAGACACGGCCCAGACUCCUACGGGAGGCAGCAGUGGGGAAUUUUGGACAAUGGGCGAAAGCCUGAUCCAGCCAUGCCGCGUGCAGGAUGAAGGCCCUCGGGUUGUAAACUGCUUUUGUACGGAACGAAAAGGUUUGGCCUAAUAAGCUGAGCUCAUGACGGUACCGUAAGAAUAAGCACCGGCUAACUACGUGCCAGCCGCCGCAGUAA